UCGGGAAUAUUGCGCAAUGGAGGAAACUCUGACGCAGUGACGCCGCGUGCAGGAAGAAGGUUUUCGGAUUGUAAACUGCUUUAGACAGGGAAGAAACAAGACAGUACCUGUAGAAUAAGCUCCGGCUAACUACGUGCCAGCAGCCGCGGUAAUACGUAGGGGGCAAGCGUUAUCCGGAUUUACUGGGUGUAAAGGGAGCGUAGACGGCAUGGCAAGUCUGAAGUGAAAUGCGGGGGCUCAACCCCUGAACUGCUUUGGAAACUGUCAGGCUGGAGUGCAGGAGAGGUAAGUGGAAUUCCUAGUGUAGCGGUGAAAUGCGUAGAUAUUAGGAGGAACACCAGUGGCGAAGGCGGCUUACUGGACUGUAACUGACGUUGAGGCUCGAAAGCGUGGGGAGCAAACAGGAUUAGAUACCCUGGUAGU
RNAcentral lists this ribosomal RNA (423 nucleotides) under uncultured Lachnospiraceae bacterium. RNAcentral describes it as "bacterial SSU rRNA". It matches the Rfam family "Bacterial small subunit ribosomal RNA", at positions 355 to 794 of the family's 1533-position model. The record is from RNAcentral. Lineage: Bacteria; Bacillati; Bacillota; Clostridia; Lachnospirales; Lachnospiraceae.